This 510-nucleotide ribosomal RNA is filed under the name uncultured Glomus. Its description in RNAcentral is "SSU rRNA". It matches the Rfam family "Eukaryotic small subunit ribosomal RNA", at positions 569 to 1084 of the family's 1831-position model. The record is from RNAcentral. Lineage: Eukaryota; Fungi; Glomeromycota; Glomeromycetes; Glomerales; Glomeraceae.
AGCAGCCGCGGUAAUUCCAGCUCCAAUAGCGUAUAUUAAAGUUGUUGCAGUUAAAAAGCUCGUAGUUGAAUUUCGGGGUCAGUAGAUUGGUCGUGCCACUGGUAUGUACUGGUCUCACUGGCUCCUCCUUCCUGAUGAACCGUAAUGCCAUUAAUUUGGUGUUGCGGGGAGACUGGACUGUUACUUUGAAAAAUUAGAGUGUUUAAAGCAGGCUAACGCUUGAAUACAUUAGCAUGGAAUAAUGAAAUAGGACGUUCGAUCUUAUUUUGUUGGUUUCUAAGAUUGACGUAAUGAUUAAUAGGGAUAGUUGGGGGCAUUAGUAUUCAAUUGUCAGAGGUGAAAUUCUUGGAUUUAUUGAAGACUAACUACUGCGAAAGCAUUUGCCAAGGAUGUUUUCAUUAAUCAAGAACGAAAGUUAGAGGUUCGAAGGCGAUCAGAUACCGCCCUAGUUCUAACCAUAAACUAUGCCAACUAGCAAUUUGCUUACGUAUGCUUUAUGACUAAGUGAGA